GCGGUGUAAAAUGAGCGUGCGUCCUAUUAGCUAGUUGGUGAGGCAAUGGCUCACCAAGGCUACGAUGGGUAGGGGUUCUUAGUGGAAGAUCCCCCACACUGGCACUGAGAUACGGGCCAGACUCCUACGGGAGGCAGCAGUAGGGAAUAUUGGUCAAUGGGCGAAAGCCUGAACCAGCCAUGCCGCGUGCAGGAUGACAGCUCUCUGAGUUGUAAACUGCUUUUGUACAGGAGCAAAACAAUCCCUGCGGGGGUUCUUGGGAGUACUGUAAGAAUAAGCACCGGCUAAUUCCGUGCCAGCAGCCGCGGUAAUACGGAAGGUGCAAGCGUUAUCCGGUUUUAUUGGGUUUAAAGGGUGCGUAGGCGGCUUAUUAAGUCAGUUGUGAAAUCCUAGUGCUUAACGCUAGAACUGCAAUUGAUACUAUUAGGCUUGAGUUAAGAAUAGGU
RNAcentral lists this ribosomal RNA (446 nucleotides) under Cardinium endosymbiont of Bemisia tabaci. RNAcentral's name for it is "bacterial SSU rRNA". It matches the Rfam family "Bacterial small subunit ribosomal RNA", at positions 215 to 658 of the family's 1533-position model. The record is from RNAcentral. Lineage: Bacteria; Pseudomonadati; Bacteroidota; Cytophagia; Cytophagales; Amoebophilaceae.